Molecule: ribosomal RNA, 492 nt
Filed under: uncultured bacterium
Lineage: Bacteria
Description: partial 16S ribosomal RNA
Rfam family: Bacterial small subunit ribosomal RNA
Source: RNAcentral
AUUGAACGCUGGCGGCAUGCUUUACACAUGCAAGUCGAACGGUAACAGGUUAAGCUGACGAGUGGCGAACGGGUGAGUAAUGCAUCGGAACGUGCCCGAUCGUGGGGGAUAACGCAGCGACAGCUGCGCUAAUACCGCAUACGAUCUGAGGAUGAAAGCGGGGGACCGCAAGGCCUCGCGCGAUCGGAGCGGCCGAAGUCAGAUUAGGUAGUUGGUGGGUAAAGGCCCACCAAGCCGACGAUCUGUAGCUGGUCUGAGAGGACGACCAGCCACACUGGGACUGAGACACGGCCCAGACUCCUACGGGAGGCAGCAGUGGGGAAUUUUGGACAAUGGGCGAAAGCCUGAUCCAGCAAUGCCGCGUGCAGGAAGAAGGCCUUCGGGUUGUAAACUGCUUUUGUACGGAGCGAAAAGGUCCUUUCUAAUACAGGGGGCUCAUGACGGUACCGUAAGAAUAAGCACCGGCUAACUACGUGCCAGCCGCCGCCGUAA